This 800-nucleotide ribosomal RNA is filed under the name uncultured Glomus. Its description in RNAcentral is "SSU rRNA". It matches the Rfam family "Eukaryotic small subunit ribosomal RNA", at positions 314 to 1114 of the family's 1831-position model. The record is from RNAcentral. Lineage: Eukaryota; Fungi; Glomeromycota; Glomeromycetes; Glomerales; Glomeraceae.
AUCAACUUUCGAUGGUAGGAUAGAGGCCUACCAUGGUGGUGACGGGUGACGGAGAAUUAGGGUUCGAUUCCGGAGAGGGAGCCUGAGAAACGGCUACCACAUCCAAGGAAGGCAGCAGGCGCGCAACUUACCCACUCCCGGCACGGGGAGGUAGUGACAAUAAAUAACAAUACAGGGUUCUUUUGGAUCUUGUAAUUGGAAUGAGUACAAUUUAAAUCUCUUAACGAGGAACAAUUGGAGGGCAAGUCUGGUGCCAGCAGCCGCGGUAAUUCCAGCUCCAAUAGCGUAUAUUAAAGUUGUUGCAGUUAAAAAGCUCGUAGUUGAAUUUCGGGAUCAAUAUUUCGGUCAUGCCGUUGGUAUGCACUGUUAUCAUUGAUUUCUCACCUUCUAAAGAACCGUAAUGCCAUUAAUUUGGUGUUACGGGGAAUUAGGACUGUUACCUUGAAAAAAUUAGAGUGUUUAAAGCAGGCUCACGCUUGAAUACAUUAGCAUGGAAUAAUGAAAUAGGACAUCCGAUUCUAUUUUGUUGGUUUCUAGGAUCGAUGUAAUGAUUAAUAGGGAUAGUUGGGGGCAUUAGUAUUCAAUUGUCAGAGGUGAAAUUCUUGGAUUUAUUGAAGACUAACUACUGCGAAAGCAUUUGCCAAGGAUGUUUUCAUUAAUCAAGAACGAAAGUUAGGGGAUCGAAGACGAUCAGAUACCGUCGUAGUCUUAACCAUAAACUAUGCCGACUAGGGAUCGGAUGAUGUUAAUUUUUUAAUGACUCAUUCGGCGCCUUACGGGAAACCAAAGUGUUUGGGUUC